This is a non-coding RNA of Paramuricea clavata, 1386 nucleotides long. The record is from the annotation of a GenBank genome assembly. NCBI's taxonomy places the organism in Eukaryota, Metazoa, Cnidaria, Anthozoa, Malacalcyonacea, Plexauridae.
UUAGUCUAAUAUAUAAUCAGUGUUUAUUUAUCGAUGUCAGAUGAACCGGUUUAAUAUAAAGUUGCGAAUAUCCCAGUUAUUCCAUAGGUAUACUGCAUCAUACGUCACAGCGUGCGGAUUGUUGGGCUACCUAUGGUUAUUCAGUGUUUAUUUAUCGCGAGAGGGAAACAGUCAAAACAGUCACCGGUUUAAUAUAAAGUUGCGAAUAUCCCGGUUUAAUAUAAAGUUGUGAAUAUCGAGGGAAACAGGGUUCGUAUCUCCGCUAUGAAGACUACUAUCUCUAUCAGUCUAUGGCUAUUGGCCACCUAUACUUAUGGCUAUACCUGCACUAUAUAAAAUCUCUGGCUAUUAUGUAUGUUUACGAGUUUGAGAAUUUAACUGCUAUUUGUUAAUAUUUAAGUCGAGUAUUGUCUAAAGUGUUUUACCCAAAAUUUUCAGUACAUAAAGUGAUAAUAUCUGUAAAUUUAGUUUUUAUAUUCAGUGUUUAUUUAUCGAUGUGAUGUGGUGUCGGGCCAGUCCCAGGAAAUUUGGCCCCCUCAAACUUCGCCCCCUCCCCGGGCCAAAUUUUCUAGGAAAUUUGCCCCCCCCCCUCGGAAAUUUGGGUGAUGUUGAGGGGGUGGGUGAUUUUGAAAAAAAAUUCCCUGCAAGGCUAUUCUGAACAAAAAAAAAAAAAUACCUGCACUAACAAACUGGGGGAAAAAAUAUCCUGCCCCAGUAUUUGGUGGGGGGAAAAAUGUUGCAAAACAGCAUGGUUGCAGGGAUCGAUUUGACCAGUCCGAGAAGAUCAGCUGGUUUGAUUUUCAGGGACUAGUGUAAGGUUAAUUUCUUGUUGGAAAACUCCUCAAAAUGCUGGAAAUAGCUUACCUGAGCUUCAAAAAAUCAAACAUUUUCUGGGGGGGGGGGCAUGCCCCCAGACCCCUCUAGAGGCUCGCACCUUUGGUGGUCGACUCAGUUGUCUCAGAGUCCUAGUUAAGCAUGGCCUGAGCUGCUGCCCUAUGACAUAUACUUAUUAGUUAAACCAUGCAUAUAUAUGCUGUAGGUAGCUGCAAUGAUACAGACAGGGCUGUAGCAAGGGGGGGGGGGUAUUGGGGGGUGGUUAACCCCCAACUUUUUUAGAAUCAACAUAUUCAGAAAAUCGGGUUGGCCAUUCGUAAAAUUACGGCAAUAAUAGUAGUUGUUAAACAGAGAAAAUAUUAUAAAAUUGUAUUGUCACUAUAAAUUGUAAGCAAAUUGUAAAUUUCAACAUACUAAAACGUUUUUUCUGACCAUCAGCAUUCUGUCAAAACUUCCCCCAAAGUCCAGGAAAUGGCAUUUCAGAGACUCGAAAUUUAAAAAUUUUCUCGGGCCUCCGGCCCUCGUUUUCAGCCCCCAAUAAACAAAAGCUCC